Molecule: ribosomal RNA, 903 nt
Filed under: Staphylococcus haemolyticus
Lineage: Bacteria; Bacillati; Bacillota; Bacilli; Caryophanales; Staphylococcaceae
Description: bacterial SSU rRNA
Rfam family: Bacterial small subunit ribosomal RNA
Source: RNAcentral
AUAUGAGGUUUUUUUCUCGUCAGGAUGAACGCUGGCGGCGUGCCUAAUACAUGCAAGUCGAGCGAACAGACAAGGAGCUUGCUCCUUUGACGUUAGCGGCGGACGGGUGAGUAACACGUGGGUAACCUACCUAUAAGACUGGGAUAACUUCGGGAAACCGGAGCUAAUACCGGAUAAUAUUUCGAACCGCAUGGUUCGAUAGUGAAAGAUGGUUUUGCUAUCACUUAUAGAUGGACCCGCGCCGUAUUAGCUAGUUGGUAAGGUAACGGCUUACCAAGGCGACGAUACGUAGCCGACCUGAGAGGGUGAUCGGCCACACUGGAACUGAGACACGGUCCAGACUCCUACGGGAGGCAGCAGUAGGGAAUCUUCCGCAAUGGGCGAAAGCCUGACGGAGCAACGCCGCGUGAGUGAUGAAGGUCUUCGGAUCGUAAAACUCUGUUAUUAGGGAAGAACAUACGUGUAAGUAACUAUGCACGUCUUGACGGUACCUAAUCAGAAAGCCACGGCUAACUACGUGCCAGCAGCCGCGGUAAUACGUAGGUGGCAAGCGUUAUCCGGAAUUAUUGGGCGUAAAGCGCGCGUAGGCGGUUUUUUAAGUCUGAUGUGAAAGCCCACGGCUCAACCGUGGAGGGUCAUUGGAAACUGGAAAACUUGAGUGCAGAAGAGGAAAGUGGAAUUCCAUGUGUAGCGGUGAAAUGCGCAGAGAUAUGGAGGAACACCAGUGGCGAAGGCGACUUUCUGGUCUGUAACUGACGCUGAUGUGCGAAAGCGUGGGGAUCAAACAGGAUUAGAUACCCUGGUAGUCCACGCCGUAAACGAUGAGUGCUAAGUGUUAGGGGGUUUCCGCCCCUUAGUGCUGCAGCUAACGCAUAAGCACUCCGCAUGGGAUAGCCCAAUUGG